AACGAACGCUGGCGGCAUGCCUAACACAUGCGAGUCGAACGAGACCUUCGGGUCUAGUGGCGCACGGGUGCGUAACGCGUGGGAACCUGCCCUUAGGUUCGGAAUAACUCCCCGAAGGGGGUGCUAAUACCGGAUAAUGUCUUCGGACCAAAGAUUUAUCGCCUUUGGAUGGGCCCGCGUUGGAUUAGCUAGUUGGUAGGGUAAAAGCCUACCAAGGCGACGAUCCAUAGCUGGUCUGAGAGGAUGAUCAGCCACACUGGGACUGAGACACGGCCCAGACUCCUACGGGAGGCAGCAGUGGGGAAUAUUGGACAAUGGGCGAAAGCCUGAUCCAACAAUGCCGCGUGAGUGAUGAAGGCCUUAGGGUUGUAAAGCUCUUUUACCCGGGAUGAUAAUGACAGUACCGGGAGAAUAAGCUCCGGCUAACUCCGUG
RNAcentral lists this ribosomal RNA (433 nucleotides) under uncultured bacterium. RNAcentral's name for it is "partial 16S ribosomal RNA". It matches the Rfam family "Bacterial small subunit ribosomal RNA", at positions 29 to 507 of the family's 1533-position model. The record is from RNAcentral.